CUAUCAUAUGGAUUCCUACGGGAGGCAGCAGUGGGGAAUUUUCCGCAGGGCGAAAGCCUGACGGAGCAAUACCGCGUGAGGGAGGAAGGCUCUUGGGUUGUAAACCUCUUUUCUCAAGGAAUAAGAAAGUGAAGGUACUUGAGGAAUCAGCAUCGGCUAACUCCGUGCCAGCAGCCGCGGUAAUACGGAGGAUGCAAGCGUUAUCCGGAAUGAUUGGGCGUAAAGCGUCCGCAGGUGGCAUUGAAAGUCUGCUGUUAAAGAGUGAGGCUUAACCUCAUAAAAGCAGUGGAAACUCAAAGCUAGAGUGCGUUCGGGGCAGAAGGAAUUCCUGGUGUAGCGGUGAAAUGCGUAGAGAUCAGGAAGAACACCGGUGGCGAAGGCGUUCUGCUAGGCCGCAACUGACACUGAGGGACGAAAGCUAGGGGAGCGAAUGGGAUUAGAUACCCCAGUAGUCCUAGCCGUAAACGAUGGAUACUAGGCGUUGCGAGUAUCGACCCUCGCAGUGCCGGAGCCAACGCGUUAAGUAUCCCGCCUGGGGAGUACGCACGCAAGUGUGAAACUCAAAGGAAUUGACGGGGGCCCGCACAAGCGGUGGAGUAUGUGGUUUAAUUCGAUGCAACGCGAAGAACCUUACCAAGACUUGACAUGUCGCGAACUUUUCUGAAAGGAAGAGGUGCCUUCGGGAGCGCGAACACAGGUGGUGCAUGGCUGUCGUCAGCUCGUGUCGUGAGAUGUUGGGUUAAGUCCCGCAACGAGCGCAACCCUCUUUUUAGUUGCCAGCAUUAAGUUGGGCACUCUAGAGAGACUGCCGGUGACAAACCGGAGGAAGGUGGGGAUGACGUCAAGUCAGCAUGCCCCUUACGUCUUGGGCUACACACGUACUACAAUGGCCGGUACAAAGCGCAGCAAACUCGCGAGAGGGAGCCAAUCGCAAAAAGCCGGUCUCAGUUCGGAUUGUAGUCUGCAACUCGACUGCAUGAAGUUGGAAUCGCUAGUAAUCGCAGAUUAGCACGCUGCGGUGAAUACGUUCCCGGGCCUUGUACACACCGCCAUCGGAUCCCCGG
Molecule: ribosomal RNA, 1064 nt
Filed under: uncultured Nostoc sp.
Lineage: Bacteria; Bacillati; Cyanobacteriota; Cyanophyceae; Nostocales; Nostocaceae
Description: bacterial SSU rRNA
Rfam family: Bacterial small subunit ribosomal RNA
Source: RNAcentral